AGCGGCUGGUCUCGUUUACUCUCGCGAUACUUUGUUGGCACGUGUGAUCGUAAAACGGCUGCUGCAGCGAUCAAAGUCGGACAAAGUGUCUAAACAGACUGCAUCGCUGUUUUCAGGCGGCUGCAGAUUCUUGCGUCGCCGAAUGAAGUCGAACAAGCCUAUUUUUUCUCCAGUUAUUGCUUGGGCUGACUGUGGAGACUUGCCAUUGGCUGUUGUUUUGAAUAAUCAACGAGGUGAGGACGGCUCCAUAUCUAAUGCGUGGUCGUGCGGGAUGGAGCGCUCUCCAUCUCGGAGCAUGACGUGAUAGAGACAUCGGUCUCUAUCACAGGGUUGAGACUCUCCUGCUCGGCCACGUUUAUCACGUAAUGACAGAACACUACAUGUCUUCCGCUUCUUGUCUCUCUGCGCAGGCGGCGGGUGACAAGUUUGUCCGUUGCUACGUGACUGUCACGUGAUGCACUGAAAGAGCGCGAGAACAUAAUGACAAUUGAUAAUACUUUUCAACAGAACUUUUCUUACAUGUCAAGUGAUUCACAUUUGUUCCUGGUCUUAAUAUUAGUGUAUUUUACUAUAAUUACUUAUCAUUGUCGUUGCCGAAUUAUUUACUUUCACUUUAUUUUCUAAAUCUAUAUUAAUUGAAGCGUAACGCCGCUAGCAUAUUAGCGUGUUAGCUUGUCUUCUGUUUACAUUGUGGAAUAUCAUCUCCCCCUAUUUGUCUUGUGUGCUAACUGUUUCUCUUUUUAAGCGUAUAUA
Long non-coding RNA from Triplophysa dalaica, 753 nucleotides. RefSeq lists it as uncharacterized. The transcript is spliced from 2 exons. The record is from RefSeq and is a predicted model, not a curated record. NCBI's taxonomy places the organism in Eukaryota, Metazoa, Chordata, Actinopteri, Cypriniformes, Nemacheilidae.